AUCGCUUCUCAGCCUUUUGGCUAAGAUCAAGUGUAAAAGUUGUACUGUUUGUAACCUCUACCUUUAUCAAUAUGUCAUAAUAUAUAUUAACACAAGAAAUAAGAUGAAAUAUUU
This is a small nuclear RNA of Heterocephalus glaber (naked mole-rat), 114 nucleotides long. Its record names the gene U2. It matches the Rfam family "U2 spliceosomal RNA". From Rfam's summary of the family: U2 is a small nuclear RNA (snRNA) component of the spliceosome (involved in pre-mRNA splicing). Complementary binding between U2 snRNA (in an area lying towards the 5' end but 3' to hairpin I) and the branchpoint sequence (BPS) of the intron results the bulging out of an unpaired adenosine, on the BPS, which initiates a nucleophilic attack at the intronic 5' splice site, thus starting the first of two transesterification reactions that mediate splicing. The record is from Ensembl. Lineage: Eukaryota; Metazoa; Chordata; Mammalia; Rodentia; Bathyergidae.